This 401-nucleotide ribosomal RNA is filed under the name uncultured archaeon. RNAcentral's name for it is "bacterial SSU rRNA". It matches the Rfam family "Archaeal small subunit ribosomal RNA", at positions 471 to 871 of the family's 1478-position model. The record is from RNAcentral.
UAACACCGGCGGCUCGAGUGGUAACCGUUAUUAUUGGGUCUAAAGGGUCUGUAGCCGGCCGGAUAAGUCUCUUGGGAAAUCCAGCAGCUUAACUGUUGGGCUUUCAGGAGAUACUGUCUGGCUCGAGGCCGGGAGAGGUGAGAGGUACUUCAGGGGUAGGGGUGAAAUCUUGUAAUCCUUGAAGGACCACCAGUGGCGAAGGCGUCUCACCAGAACGGACCUGACGGCAAGGGACGAAAGCUAGGGGCACGAACCGGAUUAGAUACCCGGGUAGUCCUAGCCGUAAACGAUACUCGCUAGGUGUCGGCCACGGUGCGACCGUUGUCGGUGCCGUAGGGAAGCCGUGAAGCGAGCCACCUGGGAAGUACGGCCGCAAGGCUGAAACUUAAAUGAAUUGACGG